RNAcentral lists this ribosomal RNA (473 nucleotides) under uncultured bacterium. RNAcentral describes it as "bacterial SSU rRNA". It matches the Rfam family "Bacterial small subunit ribosomal RNA", at positions 28 to 507 of the family's 1533-position model. The record is from RNAcentral.
GAUGAACGCUGGCGGCGUGCUUAACACAUGCAAGUCGAGCGGGGAUAUUGAGGAAGCUUGCUUCUGAGAUAUUCUAGCGGCGGACGGGUGAGUAACGCGUGAGCAACCUUUCUCUCAGUGGGGAAUAACACAGGGAAACUUGUACUAAUACCGCAUGAGACCACAGAGUCGCAUGACUUAGGGGUCAAAGAUUUAUUGCUGAGAGGUGGGCUCGCGUCUGAUUAGGUAGUUGGUGAGGUAACGGCCCACCAAGGCGACGAUCAGUAGGGGUUCUGAGAGGAAGGUCCCCCACAUUGGAACUGAGACACGGUCCAAACUCCUACGGGAGGCAGCAGUGGGGAAUAUUGGGCAAUGGGCGCAAGCCUGACCCAGCAACGCCGCGUGAAGGAAGAAGGCUUUCGGGUUGUAAAACUUCUUUUGUCGAGGAAGAGUAGAAGACUGUACUCGGCGAAUAAGCCACGGCUAACUACGUG